This 253-nucleotide ribosomal RNA is filed under the name uncultured bacterium. Its description in RNAcentral is "partial 16S ribosomal RNA". It matches the Rfam family "Bacterial small subunit ribosomal RNA", at positions 524 to 776 of the family's 1533-position model. The record is from RNAcentral.
UACAUAGGGGGCAAGCGUUAUUCGGAAUUAUUGGGCGUAAAGGGCGCGUAGGCGGCCUGGCAAGUGGAAGGUGAAAUCCCUCGGCUUAACCGAGGAACUGCCCUCCAAACUGCUUGGCUUGAGUCCGGGAGAGGUGAGUGGAAUUCCCAGUGUAGCGGUGAAAUGCGUAGAGAUCCGGAAGAACACCGGUGGCGAAGGCGGCCUGCUGGGCAGUAGCUGACGCUGAGGCGCGACAGCGUGGGGAGCAAACAGG